CUGGAACCUGCCGCAAGACUUUGACGCACAUUAACAUACAAUGUGGCAUGUAGUUGAUCCUCCAAAUAUGUGUUGAUAAAAGUAAGAAAAAAAGGAAGUGAGAAGAGAAGGAAGAAAGGCUGGCCUUGGAGCUUUACAAACUAGUACUCAUCCAAGAAGUAGUAAUUAAAGAGACAGAGUCUCACUUUACCGCCCUUGGUAGAGUGCCAUGACGUCACAGGACUCACAGCAACCUCCAGCUCUUGGGCUUCCACAAUUCUCCUGCCUCAGCCUCCCGAGCAGCUGGGACUACAGGCACCCGCGCCACAACCCCCGGCUAUUUUUUGGUUGCAGUUCAGCCGGGGCUGGUUCUGAACCCAUCACCCUCGGUAUGUGGGGCCGGCGCCCUACUCACUGAGCCACAGGCGCCACCAAAAAAAGGGAAAACAUUGUUAACCAUAAAUUCUGUACCAACAAAAGGCACCCUUUAAAAAGAAAGGUGAAAUUAACAUAUUUUUAGCUACCAAAACCAAAGACUUCAUCUGGACCUGCCCUACAAGAAAUACUAACAGGAGUUCUUGAAAUAAAAGGAUACUAACUAGA
This is a long non-coding RNA of Nycticebus coucang (slow loris), 582 nucleotides long. RefSeq lists it as uncharacterized. The record is from RefSeq and is a predicted model, not a curated record. Lineage: Eukaryota; Metazoa; Chordata; Mammalia; Primates; Lorisidae. The transcript has 3 exons.